AACGAACGCUGGCGGCAUGCCUAACACAUGUAAGUCGAACGAGAUCCUUCGGGGUCUAGUGGCGCACGGGUGCGUAACGCGUGGGAAUCUGCCCUUAGGUUCGGAAUAACAGUUAGAAAUGACUGCUAAUACCGGAUGAUGACGUUAAGUCCAAAGAUUUAUCGCCUGAGGAUGAGCCCGCGUAGGAUUAGCUAGUUGGUGUGGUAAAGGCGCACCAAGGCGACGAUCCUUAGCUGGUCUGAGAGGAUGAUCAGCCACACUGGGACUGAGACACGGCCCAGACUCCUACGGGAGGCAGCAGUGGGGAAUAUUGGACAAUGGGCGCAAGCCUGAUCCAGCAAUGCCGCGUGAGUGAUGAAGGCCUUAGGGUUGUAAAGCUCUUUUACCCGGGAUGAUAAUGACAGUACCGGGAGAAUAAGCCCCGGCUAACUCCGUG
This 436-nucleotide ribosomal RNA is filed under the name uncultured bacterium. RNAcentral's name for it is "partial 16S ribosomal RNA". It matches the Rfam family "Bacterial small subunit ribosomal RNA", at positions 29 to 507 of the family's 1533-position model. The record is from RNAcentral.